This 468-nucleotide ribosomal RNA is filed under the name uncultured bacterium. Its description in RNAcentral is "partial 16S ribosomal RNA". It matches the Rfam family "Bacterial small subunit ribosomal RNA", at positions 28 to 507 of the family's 1533-position model. The record is from RNAcentral.
GACGAACGCUGGCGGCGUGCUUAACACAUGCAAGUCGAACGGAAAGGCCCUGCUUUUGUGGGGUGCGCGAGUGGCGAACGGGUGAGUAACACGUGAGUAACCUGCCCUUGACUUGGGGAUAACUUCAGGAAACUGGGGCUAAUACCGGAUAGGAGCUCCUGCGGCAGGGUGGGGGUUGGAAAGUUUCGGCGGUUGGGGAUGGACUCGCGGCUUAUCAGCUUGUUGGUGGGGUAGUGGCUUACCAAGGCUUUGACGGGUAGCCGGCCUGAGAGGGUGACCGGCCACAUUGGGACUGAGAUACGGCCCAGACUCCUACGGGAGGCAGCAGUGGGGAAUAUUGCACAAUGGGCGGAAGCCUGAUGCAGCAACGCCGCGUGCGGGAUGACGGCCUUCGGGUUGUAAACCGCUUUCGCCUGUGACGAAGCGUGAGUGACGGUAAUGGGUAAAGAAGCACCGGCUAACUACGUG